GUAGUCGGAUUCGCAUCAAUCCAUAUAUGUUGGGGUGGGUUGGAGUGAAACUUAAACUAAAUUCCACUCUAAUCCACUCCAACCUAUGUGAAUUGAGGUGAAUCUGAUA
This is a microRNA precursor of Sorghum bicolor (sorghum), 109 nucleotides long. It matches the Rfam family "MIR5565 microRNA precursor family". Lineage: Eukaryota; Viridiplantae; Streptophyta; Magnoliopsida; Poales; Poaceae. The record is from Rfam.